AUCAUCCUUUUCUUGGGGUCGUGCUUCUCAGGAUAGUGAGGGCAGAACAGCUAACGCCUACACAACACACCUGCAUCAACUAGAGCUUUGCUUUACCUUGGUGUAAUUUUUGAGAAA
Molecule: non-coding RNA, 117 nt
Filed under: Propithecus coquereli (Coquerel's sifaka)
Lineage: Eukaryota; Metazoa; Chordata; Mammalia; Primates; Indriidae
Description: U4atac minor spliceosomal RNA (ENSPCOG00000007822.1)
Rfam family: U4atac minor spliceosomal RNA
About the family: U4atac is an essential component of the minor U12-type spliceosome complex which is required for removal of the rarer class of eukaryotic introns (AT-AC, U12-type). These interacting stem loops have been shown to be required for in vivo splicing. U4atac also contains an 3' Sm protein binding site which has been shown to be essential for splicing activity.
Source: Rfam by way of RNAcentral